RNAcentral lists this ribosomal RNA (463 nucleotides) under uncultured bacterium. Its description in RNAcentral is "bacterial SSU rRNA". It matches the Rfam family "Bacterial small subunit ribosomal RNA", at positions 28 to 501 of the family's 1533-position model. The record is from RNAcentral.
GAUGAACGCUAGCGGCAGGCCUAAUACAUGCAAGUCGAACGGUGUCUUCGGACAUAGUGGCGCACGGGUGCGUAACACGUAUGCAACCUACCUUACAUUGGGGGAUAGCCUUUCGAAAGGGAGAUUAAUACCGCAUAAGACAGUAGCUGGGCAUCCAGCAGCUGUUAAAGAUUUAUCGAUGUAAGCUGGGCAUGCGUCCAAUUAGCUAGUUGGUGAGGUAACGGCUCACCAAGGCUAUGAUUGGUAGGGGAACUGAGAGGUCAAUCCCCCACACUGGCACUGAGAUACGGGCCAGACUCCUACGGGAGGCAGCAGUAGGGAAUAUUGGGCAAUGGACGCAAGUCUGACCCAGCCAUGCCGCGUGCAGGAUGAAGGCGUUAUGCGUUGUAAACUGCUUUUAUACAGGAAGAAACGACUCUUGCGAGAGGCAUUGACGGUACUGUAUGAAUAAGCACCGGCUAAC